UCCAACGUGUUCUCUCUCCAAUCCAACCAAGAACCCUAAUUUUCUUCCCCCAAUUUCUUCUUCCCCCAAUUUCUUCUUCCCCCUCCAAUCCAACGUGUUCUCUCUCCAAUCCAACCAAGAACCCUAAUCUUCUUCUCCCAAUUUCUUCUUCCCCCAAUUUCUUCUUAACAGCUUGCUCCGACGUGGUGGCUCAGAGAGUGGUUCAAAUUCUGGAAGAUUGGCUAGGUUCCAUCAUUAGCAGAAUCAGAUGGUAAAAACAAGGAUUUGUUUAUACAGUAGUCAAGUGCCAUUUGCAACUCCAAUCGGUAGGUGGGACUCUCAUCCCUAAUUACAAUGAUGUUAUUCCCACCGUCAAUGGCGUUACCGGUAUCCAGUUAGGAGCUGGUUUGGCUGGUACUUCGUUUGCACCAAACAACAACAACCAAAACAAUGUUCAAAUGC
Molecule: long non-coding RNA, 441 nt
Organism: Lathyrus oleraceus (garden pea)
Lineage: Eukaryota; Viridiplantae; Streptophyta; Magnoliopsida; Fabales; Fabaceae
Exons: 3
Source: RefSeq, a predicted model, not a curated record